AGAGUUUGAUCCUGGCUCAGGACGAACGCUGGCGGCGCGCCUAACACAUGCAAGUCGAACGGAGCUUAGAGAGCUUGCUUUUUAAGCUUAGUGGCGAACGGGUGAGUAACGCGUGAGUAACCUGCCCUAGAGUGGGGGACAACAGUUGGAAACGACUGCUAAUACCGCAUAAGCCCACGGUACCGCAUGGUACUGAGGGAAAAGGAUUUAUUCGCUUUAGGAUGGACUCGCGUCCAAUUAGCUAGUUGGUGAGGUAACGGCCCACCAAGGCGACGAUUGGUAGCCGGACUGAGAGGUUGAACGGCCACA
This 309-nucleotide ribosomal RNA is filed under the name human gut metagenome. RNAcentral's name for it is "bacterial SSU rRNA". It matches the Rfam family "Bacterial small subunit ribosomal RNA", at positions 8 to 312 of the family's 1533-position model. The record is from RNAcentral.